Molecule: transfer RNA, 72 nt
Filed under: Saurida umeyoshii
Lineage: Eukaryota; Metazoa; Chordata; Actinopteri; Aulopiformes; Synodontidae
Also listed under: 1 other name
Description: tRNA-Val
Rfam family: tRNA
About the family: Transfer RNA (tRNA) molecules are approximately 80 nucleotides in length.
Source: RNAcentral
CAGAGCGAAGCUAAAGUAGUAAAGCAUCUCCCUUACACCGAGAAGUUAUCUGUGCAAAUCAGAUCGCCCUGA